This 2927-nucleotide ribosomal RNA is filed under the name Salmonella enterica subsp. enterica serovar Typhimurium. RNAcentral's name for it is "23S ribosomal RNA". It matches the Rfam family "Bacterial large subunit ribosomal RNA". Lineage: Bacteria; Pseudomonadati; Pseudomonadota; Gammaproteobacteria; Enterobacterales; Enterobacteriaceae. The record is from RNAcentral.
GGGUUGUGAGGUUAAGCGACUAAGCGUACACGGUGGAUGCCCUGGCAGUCAGAGGCGAUGAAGGGCGUGCUAAUCUGCGAUAAGCGCCGGUAAGGUGAUAUGAACCGUUAUAACCGGCGAUACCCGAAUGGGGAAACCCAGUGUGAUUCGUCACACUAUCAUUAACUGAAUCCAUAGGUUAAUGAGGCGAACCGGGGGAACUGAAACAUCUAAGUACCCCGAGGAAAAGAAAUCAACCGAGAUUCCCCCAGUAGCGGCGAGCGAACGGGGAGGAGCCCAGAGCCUGAAUCAGCAUGUGUGUUAGUGGAAGCGUCUGGAAAGGCGCGCGAUACAGGGUGACAGCCCCGUACACAAAAGCGCAUGUGCUGUGAGCUCGAUGAGUAGGGCGGGACACGUGGUAUCCUGUCUGAAUAUGGGGGGACCAUCCUCCAAGGCUAAAUACUCCUGACUGACCGAUAGUGAACCAGUACCGUGAGGGAAAGGCGAAAAGAACCCCGGCGAGGGGAGUGAAAAAGAACCUGAAACCGUGUACGUACAAGCAGUGGGAGCACCCUUCGGGGUGUGACUGCGUACCUUUUGUAUAAUGGGUCAGCGACUUAUAUUCUGUAGCAAGGUUAACCGUAUAGGGGAGCCGGAGGGAAACCGAGUCUUAAUUGGGCGUUAAGUUGCAGGGUAUAGACCCGAAACCCGGUGAUCUAGCCAUGGGCAGGUUGAAGGUUGGGUAACACUAACUGGAGGACCGAACCGACUAAUGUUGAAAAAUUAGCGGAUGACCUGUGGCUGGGGGUGAAAGGCCAAUCAAACCGGGAGAUAGCUGGUUCUCCCCGAAAGCUAUUUAGGUAGCGCCUCGUGAAUUCAUCUCCGGGGGUAGAGCACUGUUUCGGCUAGGGGGCCAUCCCGGCUUACCAACCCGAUGCAAACUGCGAAUACCGGAGAAUGUUAUCACGGGAGACACACGGCGGGUGCUAACGUCCGUCGUGAAGAGGGAAACAACCCAGACCGCCAGCUAAGGUCCCAAAGUCAUGGUUAAGUGGGAAACGAUGUGGGAAGGCCCAGACAGCCAGGAUGUUGGCUUAGAAGCAGCCAUCAUUUAAAGAAAGCGUAAUAGCUCACUGGUCGAGUCGGCCUGCGCGGAAGAUGUAACGGGGCUAAACCAUGCACCGAAGCUGCGGCAGCGACGCUGAUGCGUUGUUGGGUAGGGGAGCGUUCUGUAAGCCUGUGAAGGUGUGUCGUGAGGCAUGCUGGAGGUAUCAGAAGUGCGAAUGCUGACAUAAGUAACGAUAAAGCGGGUGAAAAGCCCGCUCGCCGGAAGACCAAGGGUUCCUGUCCAACGUUAAUCGGGGCAGGGUGAGUCGACCCCUAAGGCGAGGCCGAAAGGCGUAGUCGAUGGGAAACGGGUUAAUAUUCCCGUACUUGGUGUUACUGCGAAGGGGGGACGGAGAAGGCUAUGUUGGCCGGGCGACGGUUGUCCCGGUUUAAGCGUGUAGGUGUGUGUUCCAGGUAAAUCCGGUUCACUUUAACACUGAGGCGUGACGACGAGGCACUACGGUGCUGAAGCAACAAAUGCCCUGCUUCCAGGAAAAGCCUCUAAGCAUCAGGUAACAUCAAAUCGUACCCCAAACCGACACAGGUGGUCAGGUAGAGAAUACCAAGGCGCUUGAGAGAACUCGGGUGAAGGAACUAGGCAAAAUGGUGCCGUAACUUCGGGAGAAGGCACGCUGACACGUAGGUGAAGUGAUUUACUCAUGGAGCUGAAGUCAGUCGAAGAUACCAGCUGGCUGCAACUGUUUAUUAAAAACACAGCACUGUGCAAACACGAAAGUGGACGUAUACGGUGUGACGCCUGCCCGGUGCCGGAAGGUUAAUUGAUGGGGUCAGCGCAAGCGAAGCUCCUGAUCGAAGCCCCGGUAAACGGCGGCCGUAACUAUAACGGUCCUAAGGUAGCGAAAUUCCUUGUCGGGUAAGUUCCGACCUGCACGAAUGGCGUAAUGAUGGCCAGGCUGUCUCCACCCGAGACUCAGUGAAAUUGAACUCGCUGUGAAGAUGCAGUGUACCCGCGGCAAGACGGAAAGACCCCGUGAACCUUUACUAUAGCUUGACACUGAACAUUGAGCCUUGAUGUGUAGGAUAGGUGGGAGGCUUUGAAGUGUGGACGCCAGUCUGCAUGGAGCCGACCUUGAAAUACCACCCUUUAAUGUUUGAUGUUCUAACGUGGACCCGUAAUCCGGGUUGCGGACAGUGUCUGGUGGGUAGUUUGACUGGGGCGGUCUCCUCCUAAAGAGUAACGGAGGAGCACGAAGGUUGGCUAAUCCUGGUCGGACAUCAGGAGGUUAGUGCAAUGGCAUAAGCCAGCUUGACUGCGAGCGUGACGGCGCGAGCAGGUGCGAAAGCAGGUCAUAGUGAUCCGGUGGUUCUGAAUGGAAGGGCCAUCGCUCAACGGAUAAAAGGUACUCCGGGGAUAACAGGCUGAUACCGCCCAAGAGUUCAUAUCGACGGCGGUGUUUGGCACCUCGAUGUCGGCUCAUCACAUCCUGGGGCUGAAGUAGGUCCCAAGGGUAUGGCUGUUCGCCAUUUAAAGUGGUACGCGAGCUGGGUUUAGAACGUCGUGAGACAGUUCGGUCCCUAUCUGCCGUGGGCGCUGGAGAACUGAGGGGGGCUGCUCCUAGUACGAGAGGACCGGAGUGGACGCAUCACUGGUGUUCGGGUUGUCAUGCCAAUGGCACUGCCCGGUAGCUAAAUGCGGAAGAGAUAAGUGCUGAAAGCAUCUAAGCACGAAACUUGCCCCGAGAUGAGUUCUCCCUGAGACUUAGAGUCUCCUGAAGGAACGUUGAAGACGACGACGUUGAUAGGCCGGGUGUGUAAGCGCAGCGAUGCGUUGAGCUAACCGGUACUAAUGAACCGUGAGGCUUAACCUUACAACGCCGAAG